UGGGGAAUAUUGGGCAAUGGAGGCAACUCUGACCCAGCAACGCCGCGUGAAGGAAGAAGGUCUUCGGAUUGUAAACUUCUGUCGCAGGGGACGAAUUUUGACGGUACCCUGCAAGAAAGCCCCGGCUAACUACGUGCCAGCAGCCGCGGUAAUACGUAGGGGGCAAGCGUUGUUCGGAAUUACUGGGCGUAAAGGGUGCGUAGGCGGCCUGAUAAGUCAGAUGUGAAAUCCCCGAGCUCAACUUGGGUGUUGCAUUUGAAACUAUAAGGCUUGAGUGCAGGAGAGGAAAGCGGAAUUCCUAGUGUAGCGGUGAAAUGCGUAGAUAUUAGGAGGAACACCAGUGGCGAAGGCGGCUUUCUGGACUGUAACUGACGCUGAGGCACGAAAGCGUGGGGAGCAAACA
This 403-nucleotide ribosomal RNA is filed under the name uncultured Eubacteriales bacterium. RNAcentral's name for it is "uncultured Clostridiales bacterium partial 16S ribosomal RNA". It matches the Rfam family "Bacterial small subunit ribosomal RNA", at positions 355 to 774 of the family's 1533-position model. Lineage: Bacteria; Bacillati; Bacillota; Clostridia; Eubacteriales. The record is from RNAcentral.